RNAcentral lists this ribosomal RNA (454 nucleotides) under uncultured bacterium. Its description in RNAcentral is "partial 16S ribosomal RNA". It matches the Rfam family "Bacterial small subunit ribosomal RNA", at positions 28 to 507 of the family's 1533-position model. The record is from RNAcentral.
GAUGAACGCUGACAGAAUGCUUAACACAUGCAAGUCAACUUGAACUUCGGUUUGGGUGGCGGACGGGUGAGUAACGCGUAAAGAACUUGCCUCACAGAUAGGGACAACAUUUGGAAACGAAUGCUAAUACCUGAUAUUAUGAUUUUAGGGCAUCCUAGGAUUAUGAAAGCUAUAUGCGCUGUGAGAGAGCUUUGCGUCCCAUUAGCUAGUUGGAGAGGUAACGGCUCACCAAGGCGAUGAUGGGUAGCCGGCCUGAGAGGGUGAUCGGCCACAAGGGGACCGAGACACGGCCCUUACUCCUACGGGAGGCAGCAGUGGGGAAUAUUGGACAAUGGACCAAGAGUCUGAUCCAGCAAUUCUGUGUGCACGAUGAAGUUUUUCGGAAUGUAAAGUGCUUUCAGUUGGGAAGAAAAAAAUGACGGUACCAACAGAAGAAGUGACGGCUAAAUACGUG